AGAACGACGCUUUGGGCCAAGAUUUCUAGGCGUGAUUCAGAUAAUUUUCAGCCAUCUUCUGGACUCAAAACAGGUAUAAAUUGAUUCCUCUCAUCGAUUAGAUAAAGUUUUGUGUUUGGAUCAUGUGAUUUGGUUGAAAAAACGAAAAGUUGUAACGAUUUAAAAUUUGGCUAGUUUCCGGCGAACCUGUGACAUUCCAGACCAUUUUCAGGCCAAAGCACAGCAAGUUAGUCAACGUGCAAGGUACCAAUCUCUUUGUCUCGUCGAGAACUAUGAUUUUCAUUUUUGAAUCACUUCAUUUCAUUGAAUAUUGACAAAGUUAUAGACAUUUAAAGUUUGCCCAGAAAUUCCGGCCAGUUACCAGUUUUCCUGCGAACAGCCAUAUUUCAGGCCAUUUUCCGGUCACCUCCGGCCAUCAUUUGGACUUCAAGCAGGUAUAAUAUCUUUCUACACUUCUCUAGCUUCGUUUUGGUAUAUUAUGGAUUGAAUUUGGGUGAUAAACAAGUGAGAUAUGGAGUUCUAAAUAUUGCCCAAAAAAUCUGCAAAAUCUGCAGAAUCCGGCGAAAUUUCAUUAAGGUCCACCACUCAAACAUUAUAGCAAUCGACGAUCCGACCAUUGGAUCAUCACCAAACUUUGAUAUAUUAUAGUAUGUAAUAUUUAAGGACCUUAGGAAGUUAUGAAUCGAAAAUCUAAUGGUUGGAUCUUACGAAGCAAGUGAUGUAGGAUCAUGGACCUUACCUUUCAAAGAUGGUUUGAUUCUCGUUAAAUGAUGUUGUGGGGGACAUAUGGGAGUUUCUGGGUAUGUGAAUUAUCGAAGGAAAUCUAAAUGUGGACAUGUACUUUGUUUUAGGCGAGGAUAGUGUGUGACAUCUCAAUUCUUGUGCUAGGAUGCGUUAGC
RNAcentral lists this long non-coding RNA (899 nucleotides) under Malus domestica (apple). RNAcentral describes it as "long non-coding RNA (MDOM_LNC012670)". Lineage: Eukaryota; Viridiplantae; Streptophyta; Magnoliopsida; Rosales; Rosaceae. The record is from RNAcentral.